Molecule: ribosomal RNA, 473 nt
Filed under: uncultured bacterium
Lineage: Bacteria
Description: bacterial SSU rRNA
Rfam family: Bacterial small subunit ribosomal RNA
Source: RNAcentral
ACUCCUACGGGAGGCAGCAGUGGGGAAUAUUGCACAAUGGGCGCAAGCCUGAUGCAGCCAUGCCGCGUGUGUGAAGAAGGCCUUCGGGUUGUAAAGCACUUUCAGUCGUGAGGAAGGUAGUGUAGUUAAUAGCUGCAUUAUUUGACGUUAGCGACAGAAGAAGCACCGGCUAACUCCGUGCCAGCAGCCGCGGUAAUACGGAGGGUGCGAGCGUUAAUCGGAAUUACUGGGGCGUAAAGCGCAUGCAGGUGGUUUGUUAAGUCAGAUGUGAAAGCCCGGGGCUCAACCUCGGAAUUGCAUUUGAAACUGGCAGACUAGAGUAUUGUAGAGGGGGUAGAAUUUCAGGUGUAGCGGUGAAAUGCGUAGAGAUCUGAAGGAAUACCGGUGGCGAAGGCGGCCCCCUGGACAGAUACUGACACUCAGAUGCGAAAGCGUGGGGAGCAAACAGGAUUAGAUACCCUGGUAGGACAGUG